This 119-nucleotide ribosomal RNA is filed under the name Carlito syrichta (Philippine tarsier). Lineage: Eukaryota; Metazoa; Chordata; Mammalia; Primates; Tarsiidae. The record is from RNAcentral.
AUCUUUUGCUAUACCAUUCCAAACAAGCCUGAUCUUAUCUGAUCUUAGAAGCUAAGCAGGGUCUGGCCUGGUUAGUACUUGGAUGGCACCCCACCAGGGAAUAUCAAGCUUAAAAAACA